CUUAGGGUCGUAAAACUCGUUCGCCAGAGAUGAUAAUGACAGUAUCUGGUAAAGAAACCCCGGCUAACUCCGUGCCAGCAGCCGCGGUAAUACGGAGGGGGUUAGCGUUGUUCGGAAUUACUGGGCGUAAAGCGCACGUAGGCGGACUGGAAAGUUGGGGGUGAAAUCCCGGGGCUCAACCUCGGAACUGCCUCCAAAACUAUCAGUCUAGAGUUCGAGAGAGGUGAGUGGAAUUCCAAGUGUAGAGGUGAAAUUCGUAGAUAUUUGGAGGAACACCAGUGGCGAAGGCGGCUCACUGGCUCGAUACUGACGCUGAGGUGCGAAAGUGUGGGGAGCAAACAGGAUUAGAUACCCUGGUAGUCCACACCGUAAACGAUGAAUGCCAGUCGUCGGCAAGUAUACUUGUCGGUGACACACCUAACGGAUUAAGCAUUCCGCCUGGGGAGUACGGUCGCAAGAUUAAAACUCAAAGGAAUUGACGGGGGCCCGCACAAGCGGUGGAGCAUGUGGUUUAAUUCGAAGC
RNAcentral lists this ribosomal RNA (523 nucleotides) under uncultured marine bacterium. RNAcentral describes it as "bacterial SSU rRNA". It matches the Rfam family "Bacterial small subunit ribosomal RNA", at positions 416 to 957 of the family's 1533-position model. The record is from RNAcentral.